RNAcentral lists this ribosomal RNA (501 nucleotides) under uncultured bacterium. Its description in RNAcentral is "partial 16S ribosomal RNA". It matches the Rfam family "Bacterial small subunit ribosomal RNA", at positions 30 to 523 of the family's 1533-position model. The record is from RNAcentral.
AUUGAACGCUGGCGGCAUGCCUUACACAUGCAAGUCGAACGGCAGCACGGGUGCUUGCACCUGGUGGCGAGUGGCGAACGGGUGAGUAAUACAUCGGAACGUACCUUAUCGUGGGGGAUAACGCAGCGAGAGCUGUGCUAAUACCGCAUACGCCCUGAGGGGGAAAGCGGGGGAUCGAAAGACCUCGCGCGAUUAGAGCGGCCGAUGCCUGAUUAGCUUGUUGGUGGGGUAAAAGCCCACCAAGGCGACGAUCAGUAGCUGGUCUGAGAGGACGAUCAGCCACACUGGGACUGAGACACGGCCCAGACUCCUACGGGAGGCAGCAGUGGGGAAUUUUGGAUAAUGGGGGCAACCCUGAUCCAGCAAUGCCGCGUGAGUGAAGAAGGCCUUCGGGUUGUAAAGCUCUUUUGUCAGGGAAGAAACACCGGCUCUAACACAGUCCGGGAAUGACGGUACCUGAAGAAUAAGCACCGGCUAACUACGUGCCAGCAGCCGCAGUAA